Molecule: ribosomal RNA, 484 nt
Filed under: uncultured bacterium
Lineage: Bacteria
Description: partial 16S ribosomal RNA
Rfam family: Bacterial small subunit ribosomal RNA
Source: RNAcentral
GACGAACGCUGGCGGCGUGCUUAACACAUGCAAGUCGAACGAUGAAGCUGGAGCUUGCUCCGGUGGAUUAGUGGCGAACGGGUGAGUAACACGUGAGUAAUCUGCCCUUGACUCUGGGAUAACUGCGGGAAACUGUAGCUAAUACCGGAUUCGACACCUUCGGGCAUCCGAUGGGUGUGGAAAGAAUUUCGGUCAAGGAGGAACUAGCGGCCUAUCAGCUAGUUGGUGAGGUAAUGGCUCACCAAGGCGACGACGGGUAGCCGGCCUGAGAGGGUGACCGGCCACACUGGGACUGAGACACGGCCCAGACUCCUACGGGAGGCAGCAGUGGGGAAUAUUGCACAAUGGGCGAAAGCCUGAUGCAGCAACGCCGCGUGAGGGAUGAAGGCCUUCGGGUUGUAAACCUCUUUUAGUUGGGAAGAAGCGAAAGUGACGGUACCAACAGAAAAAGCACCGGCUAACUACGUGCCAGCCGCCGCGGUAA